UCAAUAUAAAUUGAUUAAAUUUUAUUUAUUAAUUAUAUUUAUAAAAUUUUAUAUUUAUUAAAAAUAAUUAUAUAAAGUGUUGUUUUAGUAUUUUUUAAAGAAAAAAUAGUAAUUAUAAUAGUUUAAUAGUAUUGUGAAAGAAAAUUGAAAUAUUUGAAAAAUUUUUAUUUAAAAAGAAAAUUUUAUUUAUUGUACCUUGUGUAUCAGGGUUUAUUAAUUAAAAAUUAUUUAUUAUAAUUUUCUCGAUUUUAAAAGAGUUAAUAUAUUAUAAAAGUUAAUGUAACAAAAUUAUUUUUCAUAAUAUAUUAGAAAUGAAAUGUUAUUCGUUUUUAAAAAUAUCUAGUUCUUUAAGAAAUAAAUUUAAUUUAAAAAUUUUAUAUUAUCUAAUUAAGUAUAUUAAUUAUGUAAGUAUUUAAUUUAAAUAUUUUAUGGGAUAAGCUAUAAAAUAAAUUUUUAUAAAUUAAUAAAUUAGUUAAUAAAUAUAAACUUAGAAAUAGUUAUUAUUAAUGAAAAUGUUAUAAUUUAUUUUAUUAUUAUAAUUAUUUAUUUUAAUUUUAAUUUUUUUUUAUUAAAGUAUUUAUUUUAAUUAUAUAAAUAAAAAAAUAAUGAUUAAAUUAAUAUAUAUAUAUAUAUAUAUAAAGAUGUAUAUUUAUAUAGGUUUAUAUAAUUAUAUUUAGAUUGUAUAAGUAAAUAAUAAUAGUGAAAAGUUUUUUUAAAGAAUUCGGCAAAAUAAUAUUCGCCUGUUUAACAAAAACAUGUCUUUUUUAUAUAUUUAAAAAGUUUAACCUGCCCACUGAUUUUUUAAAUGGCCGCAGUAUUUUAACUGUGCAAAGGUAGCAUAAUAAUUAGUCUUUUAAUUGAAGGCUUGUAUGAAUGGUUGGACGAGAUAUUAACUGUUUCAAAAAUAUUUUUAAUAAAAUUUUAUUUUUUAGUCAAAAAGCUAAAAUUUUUUUAAAAGACGAGAAGACCCUAUAAAUCUUUAUAUUUUUAUUUAUUAUAAUUUUUAUUGAUUUAUUAAAUUAUAUUAUAUAAAAUUAUUAUAUUGGGGUGAUAUUAAAAUUUAAUUAACUUUUAAUUUUAUAUUAUCAUUAAUUUAUGAAAAUUUGAUCCAUUAUUAAUGAUUAAAAAUUUAAGUUACUUUAGGGAUAACAGCGUAAUUUUUUUGGAGAGUUCAUAUUAAUAAAAAAGAUUGCGACCUCGAUGUUGGAUUAAGAUAUAAUUUUAGGUGCAGUUGCUUAAAUUUUAAGUCUGUUCGACUUUUAAAUUCUUACAUGAUCUGAGUUCAAACCGGUUUAAGCCAGGUUGGUUUCUAUCUUUAGAAAAUUAAAAUAUUUCAGUACGAAAGGACCUAAUAUUUAAUAAAUUAUUAUUUUUAAUUUGAAUAUAAAUAAUAUAACUAUUUUGGCAGAUUAAU
RNAcentral lists this ribosomal RNA (1414 nucleotides) under Hyalurgus flavipes. RNAcentral's name for it is "16S ribosomal RNA". Lineage: Eukaryota; Metazoa; Arthropoda; Insecta; Diptera; Tachinidae. The record is from RNAcentral.